AUACAGAGGGUGCAAGCGUUAUUCGGAAUUACUGGGCGUAAAGCGCGCGUAGGCGGUUUGAUCAGUCGGAUGUGAAAGCCCUGGGCUCAACCUGGGAACUGCAUUCGAUACUGUCAGACUAGAAUAUGGUAGAGGGUAGUGGAAUUCCUAGUGUAGCGGUGAAAUGCGUAGAUAUCAGGAGGAACAUCAGUGGCGAAGGCGGCUACCUGGACCAAUAUUGACGCUGAGGUGCGAAAGCGUGGGGAGCAAACAGGAUUAGAAACCCUAGUAGUCC
Molecule: ribosomal RNA, 274 nt
Filed under: uncultured bacterium
Lineage: Bacteria
Description: partial 16S ribosomal RNA
Rfam family: Bacterial small subunit ribosomal RNA
Source: RNAcentral